GGCUCGGCCAAGGCUCGGCUGGUGGUUCUAUGGUGUUAGAAAAUGAGCAACCUAAUUAUACACAACAAUGGGCAGCACCUCGAUCGGUUACUGCAAAUGACUACAUCUGUGGGGCUUGUCACUCAUUAUUGCAAAGAGAUACCACACCUACUUCACAAGACUCUCCAGAUAUGCCAACCGGUGCCCCGGUAGGUCACCAACAAGUUUGUGUUGGAUGUGGUUGUUCAUUAUUGCGAACUUGAAGUCAUUGUUUGGAUACAGAGAAUAAUCAAGAUAUAUUAAACAUUGU
Molecule: long non-coding RNA, 289 nt
Organism: Ostrinia furnacalis (Asian corn borer)
Lineage: Eukaryota; Metazoa; Arthropoda; Insecta; Lepidoptera; Crambidae
Exons: 2
Source: RefSeq, a predicted model, not a curated record